RNAcentral lists this microRNA (24 nucleotides) under Prunus persica (peach). RNAcentral describes it as "microRNA miRNA_379". The record is from RNAcentral. Lineage: Eukaryota; Viridiplantae; Streptophyta; Magnoliopsida; Rosales; Rosaceae.
UUGGUCGGUGGGUGCGAAAUGGGU